RNAcentral lists this transfer RNA (73 nucleotides) under Ictidomys tridecemlineatus (thirteen-lined ground squirrel). Its description in RNAcentral is "Spermophilus tridecemlineatus (thirteen-lined ground squirrel) tRNA". It matches the Rfam family "tRNA". From Rfam's summary of the family: Transfer RNA (tRNA) molecules are approximately 80 nucleotides in length. Their secondary structure includes four short double-helical elements and three loops (D, anti-codon, and T loops). Further hydrogen bonds mediate the characteristic L-shaped molecular structure. tRNAs have two regions of fundamental functional importance: the anti-codon, which is responsible for specific mRNA codon recognition, and the 3' end, to which the tRNAs corresponding amino acid is attached (by aminoacyl-tRNA synthetases). tRNAs cope with the degeneracy of the genetic code in two manners: having more than one tRNA (with a specific anti-codon) for a particular amino acid; and 'wobble' base-pairing, i.e. permitting non-standard base-pairing at the 3rd anti-codon position. RNAcentral also lists the same sequence under 1 other name. Lineage: Eukaryota; Metazoa; Chordata; Mammalia; Rodentia; Sciuridae. The record is from Rfam by way of RNAcentral.
GGGGAUAUAACUCAGUUGGUAGAGUGCUUGCCUUGCAUGCACAAGGUCCUGGGUUCAAUCCCCAGCACCACCA